Long non-coding RNA from Bradysia coprophila, 630 nucleotides. NCBI's taxonomy places the organism in Eukaryota, Metazoa, Arthropoda, Insecta, Diptera, Sciaridae. The record is from RefSeq and is a predicted model, not a curated record.
ACCAAAACAAGACCAAGACGGUGUGAUGCACGGGGGAUACAGUCCAUUGUUGUGGUUUCGUUCAUUUAGUUUUAAAUUUCUAAGCAGUAUGAAGUAAGCUGCGUUUUUCGAACUGUCAUUUAUCUGCGCUCGUUUUGUUUUGAAAAUACAUAAUUUUGAAUGGCAACCGUGUUUUAUAAUAGUUUGCCUACUUGCAUGAUUUAACUUUUUAAUUCACAAAAAUAUACUCAAAAUAUGGUGUUUCAGUGCUGUGUACGUGGAUGUAAAACUGUUUCAAAGAAUGGUUUACAUAGCUUUCCAUCCAACAAAUCUAUGGCAGAGAAAUGGAUUACAGCCAUAAAAAGUGAUAAUUUAAAGGAUUUGUUGAAUGAAAAUAAACUGGCCCGUUCUUAUCAUAAAGUCUGUAAAAAACAUUUCGAUGAAAGCGAUUUUGCACCGAAUGGGAAGGAUAAAAGCGUGCUUGUGCCCAACUCAGUACCGAGUCGUUUUUUACCGUUACCAGAUGAAACUGUUCAUUGUGCAAACGCCGAAUCAUCGAAUCAACCAGCAACACCUUUGCCCAAAAGAACAGUUAACUCGGCCGAAACAUUAAAACCAUCUAAACCAAAACAACCAGCCAAGCGUUUGACC